CUCCAGUUUUACAGACGAUAAAACUGAGGUUCAGAGAUGCUACAUGACUUACUUGUGAUCACAAAGCUAGUCAACAUUGAAUGCAGAAACUGGAAGAUCCAACACGUCACAUGAGGAGGUCCCUCGUGCAAAUGUCUGCUAGGGAAGGCUCUUUCCUCUUCCUGCGUCUUUCACCUCUCUUCUAUGGCAUCCUUUGAGCAAAAGAUACCAUGAAGGAAAUGUAUGAUCAGAAAAGAAGGUGAGGAACUUGAGGCCUACUGAGGUUAAGUGACUGACCCAGAAUCACACAGCUACUAAGUGUCUAAGGCUAGGAUUUGAACCCGGGUCUCCCCACUGCCCUAGCCACUACAUCAUGCAGCCUCUCACAAAAAUCUUCAUCAUCCUACAAUUAACGGGGUUCUCGCUCAUCAGCAAUGAGCCUAGGAGAUGGUGUGAGAGGUAGAGAGAAGCAGAUAGGCUGAGCCAAGGAAAGUCUUGCCUUCCUGGAUAACAUGGCCCCAGCAGGUCCUUCCUAGAGACCCAGCCCCAAUCACCUCUCUAGCAGCAGCAUUACUUCUUUAACAGCAACAUUGUUGGCAGCAGCAUUUCUGUUGGCAGCAGCCCUUGCCACAGCCACAGCAGCCACAGCCACCACAGCCACCCCCACAGGAGCCACAGGAGCCACAGCCACAGGAACGGCAGGAGCGGCGGCAGCGGACGACCACCACGGGUCUGCAGCAGCCACAGCAGCAGGGGCAGCAGGCAGAACAGCAGCCCCCACGGUAGCCACCAGAGCCACCGCCGUAGCCACCAAGGCCACUGCCAUAGCCACCAGGGCCACUGCCAAAGCCACCUGAGCCAACGCCGUAGCCUCCAUAGCCACCACGGCCACCAUAGCUGCUGCCGUAGCCACCAGAGCCACCACCGUAGCCACCAGAGCCACCACCGCCACCAUACCUGCCACCUCCACAGCCACAGCAAACCAUAGUGUCAGUACAGAGUGUUCAGGUGAGGUGAGGAGAGAGAGGACUCAAGAGAGGUGAGUGAAGUCUGAUGGUCUCCUUCUGCAGGGCAGCCCUUAUAUACUCUAGUAGCUGGGGUUGACCCAAUAUGUCGCAAGACACUUUCUUGUUGUUGUUUAUCUCAGUUUCCAUGACAGACCUUUCCUCAGUCUCUUGUUUUCUUCUUCAGUACGAUGCUUUGGCAACUUGGAUACUAUGGCCUCAUAGCUCCUUGACCUCCUCAAUCCCUAUUCCUUCUUUUCUUGACUCUAUUUCAGCUAGUCCCACCCCUUCCCCAAAUAUUCAUACUUUAGCCCUCACCAUUGCACAAAACUCCUCCAUCACCAUGCAAGAUGGUGAGUUCUGAGGUGCCCUUAUCUCAGCACAAUGUCCUGUUCCAUCUUUCCCAUUCUCCUAAUGAGGCUACUUUUUUCAGUCAAGACUAUCUUGACCCUUCCUAGAUGAAUUGAUAAUUCAUUUAUGAAAUUAUGAACUAGAGCAGGCACACCCAGGUCUUUGGGUAUGAGCUGUGAAAGACUUCUAUGAUGAGGAGAAGUGAGGCAGCAAUUCCAUUUUAAUAAGGUACAGAGGGUGUGGGCACAAAAACACAUAAGUUACAUAAAGAAACAGUAAAAGGAUGUGCAGAGGCAGAUGGCAUAGGGGUAGAGGAUGGGAUGGAGAAGGAAGGUGAGCAGCAUGGAAAAGAGAAUUAGGAGGGGGAGAGGCACAGAGAAUCACCCAUGUAACAACGGAUUCGAUUUGGAAGCACUUGGCAGAAUGGACCCAAUGGAGAGGGAAGCAUAUUUGGGGGCAGGAGUUUGAGGUCUCAUUUUAUGGGGUUUAGGGGAGGAAAAGACUAACCCUUCUCUGUGCCUCCUAGGGGGUUAGUUCAUUAAUACUUCAAAUCAUCUCAAAGGUUCAGUAAAACUUUCAAGUGAACACAUCCAUAUCAUGUCAGAGUUAUCAGUACAAUCUUUGCUGGUUUUACUACAAAUGUCUAAAACUUAUUUGAGAUUUGCUUAUCACAGGACCAAAAAUCUCCGACAGCAAGAUGGCUUCCCCUGAUUUGACACAUGUUACCAAGAUGUGAUUUUUGGUUAAUGUGUGAUCCAGUUUUUUUACAGACGAUAAAACUGAGGUUCAGAGAUGCUACAUGACUUACUUGUGAUCACAAAGCUAGUCAACAUUGAAUGCAGAAACUGGAAGAUCCAACACGUCACAUGAGGAGGUCCCUCGUGCAAAUGUCUGCUAGGGAAGGCUCUUUCCUCUUCCUGCGUCUUUCACCUCUCUUCUAUGGCAUCCUUUGAGCAAAAGAUACCAUGAAGGAAAUGUAUGAUCAGAAAAGAAGGUGAGGAACUUGAGGCCUACUGAGGUUAAGUGACUGACCCAGAAUCACACAGCUACUAAGUGUCUAAGGCUAGGAUUUGAACCCGGGUCUCCCCACUGCCCUAGCCACUACAUCAUGCAGCCUCUCACAAAAAUCUUCAUCAUCCUACAAUUAACGGGGUUCUCGCUCAUCAGCAAUGAGCCUAGGAGAUGGUGUGAGAGGUAGAGAGAAGCAGAUAGGCUGAGCCAAGGAAAGUCUUGCCUUCCUGGAUAACAUGGCCCCAGCAGGUCCUUCCUAGAGACCCAGCCCCAAUCACCUCUCUAGCAGCAGCAUUACUUCUUUAACAGCAACAUUGUUGGCAGCAGCAUUUCUGUUGGCAGCAGCCCUUGCCACAGCCACAGCAGCCACAGCCACCACAGCCACCCCCACAGGAGCCACAGGAGCCACAGCCACAGGAACGGCAGGAGCGGCGGCAGCGGACGACCACCACGGGUCUGCAGCAGCCACAGCAGCAGGGGCAGCAGGCAGAACAGCAGCCCCCACGGUAGCCACCAGAGCCACCGCCGUAGCCACCAAGGCCACUGCCAUAGCCACCAGGGCCACUGCCAAAGCCACCUGAGCCAACGCCGUAGCCUCCAUAGCCACCACGGCCACCAUAGCUGCUGCCGUAGCCACCAGAGCCACCACCGCCACCAUACCUGCCACCUCCACAGCCACAGCAAACCAUAGUGUCAGUACAGAGGGUUCAGGUGAGGUGAGGAGAGAGAGGACUCAAGAGAGGUGAGUGAAGUCUGAUGGUCUCCUUCUGCAGGGCAGCCCUUAUAUACUCUAGUAGCUGGGGUUGACCCAAUAUGUCGCAAGACACUUUCUUGUUGUUGUUUAUCUCAGUUUCCAUGACAGACCUUUCCUCAGUCUCUUGUUUUCUUCUUCAGUACGAUGCUUUGGCAACUUGGAUACUAUGGCCUCAUAGCUCCUUGACCUCCUCAAUCCCUAUUCCUUCUUUUCUUGACUCUAUUUCAGCUAGUCCCACCCCUUCCCCAAAUAUUCAUACUUUAGCCCUCACCAUUGCCCAAAACUCCUCCAUCACCAUGCAAGAUGGUGAGUUCUGAGGUGCCCUUAUCUCAGCACAAUGUCCUGUUCCAUCUUUCCCAUUCUCCUAAUGAGGCUACUUUUUUCAGUCAAGACUAUCUUGACCCUUCCUAGAUGAAUUGAUAAUUCAUUUAUGAAAUUAUGAACUAGAGCAGGCACACCCAGGUCUUUGGGUAUGAGCUGUGAAAGACCGCUAUGAUGAGGAGAAGUGAGGCAGCAAUUCCAUUUUAAUAAGGUACAGAGGGUGUGGGCACAAAAACACAUAAGUUACAUAAAGAAACAGUAAAAGGAUGUGCAGAGGCAGAUGGCAUAGGGGUAGAGGAUGGGAUGGAGAAGGAAGGUGAGCAGCAUGGAAAAGAGAAUUAGGAGGGGGAGAGGCACAGAGAAUCACCCAUGUAACAACGGAUUCGAUUUGGAAGCACUUGGCAGAAUGGACCCAAUGGAGAGGGAAGCAUAUUUGGGGGCAGGAGUUUGAGGUCUCAUUUUAUGGGGUUUAGGGGAGGAAAAGACUAACCCUUCUCUGUGCCUCCUAGGGGGUUAGUUCAUUAAUACUUCAAAUCAUCUCAAAGGUUCAGUAAAACUUUCAAGUGAACACAUCCAUAUCAUGUCAGAGUUAUCAGUACAAUCUUUGCUGGUUUUACUACAAAUGUCUAAAACUUAUUUGAGAUUUGCUUAUCACAGGACCAAAAAUCUCCGACAGCAAGAUGGCUUCCCCUGAUUUGACACAUGUUACCAAGAUGUGAUUUUUGGUUAAUGUGUGAUCCAGUUUUCAAUCUCAACAAUAUACCUUCCUCAAUCCUGAAGUUCUUUGUGUGCCUCUGGGCAUCCUAUUACACCAUCCCCAUUAACACCCAAUCACAGGCAGCAUGGAAUCUCAUAUAACUACCACAUACAACUUUGC
Molecule: long non-coding RNA, 4297 nt
Organism: Trichosurus vulpecula (common brushtail)
Lineage: Eukaryota; Metazoa; Chordata; Mammalia; Diprotodontia; Phalangeridae
Exons: 8
Source: RefSeq, a predicted model, not a curated record